RNAcentral lists this ribosomal RNA (455 nucleotides) under uncultured organism. RNAcentral describes it as "partial 16S ribosomal RNA". It matches the Rfam family "Bacterial small subunit ribosomal RNA", at positions 330 to 801 of the family's 1533-position model. The record is from RNAcentral.
CGUACACUCCUGCGGGAGGCAGCAGUGGGGAAUAUUGGACAAUGGGCGCAAGCCUGAUCCAGCCAUGCCGCGUGAGUGAUGAAGGCCCUAGGGUUGUAAAGCUCUUUCACCGGUGAAGAUAAUGACGGUAACCGGAGAAGAAGCCCCGGCUAACUUCGUGCCAGCAGCCGCGGUAAUACGAAGGGGGCUAGCGUUGUUCGGAUUUACUGGGCGUAAAGCGCACGUAGGCGGACUAUUAAGUCAGGGGUGAAAUCCCGGGGCUCAACCCCGGAACUGCCUUUGAUACUGGUAGUCUUGAGUUCGAGAGAGGUGAGUGGAAUUCCGAGUGUAGAGGUGAAAUUCGUAGAUAUUCGGAGGAACACCAGUGGCGAAGGCGGCUCACUGGCUCGAUACUGACGCUGAGGUGCGAAAGCGUGGGGAGCAAACAGGAUUAGAUACCCUUGUAGUCCCAUGAU